AGAUCAUUUUCAGCGGAUUCAUUCGAGCACCGCUGUCCCUUUCAACUCCAUGCUCUUUUUCGAUGAUGAGAAUAGGAACAUCCAAUCGGAUUGUGUUGCUACAAGAUGGUACACAGCCCCAAAGCUGUAUGGCUCCUUCUUUUCUAAGGUAUAUAAUUUGGCCAAAAUUUAUGUAAUAUAGAUCAUUUAUAGAGGCAUAUAUGCUUAUUUUUAGUUGCAAGGCAGUAUUGUGAUAUUAUUGUUGAGACUUGUUUGAGUUAAUAACAAUUUUGUAGACAUCAUUAUUGAAUGUUGUUGUAUCAUAAUCUUAACUGGAUUUGUUUGAUUUUUAUUCAAGGGUUGUUCCCCUUUAAAUUUGCAUCUGAGGGAGAAAAUGUAAUUUCAUUUUGUGGUUGCAGAGUAAUGUAGAACUAUGAAGUUAAGUAUGCAAUAUAAAUGUUAAUAAAUUGAUGGGAAAUUUGGUUAUAUUUUUUAAGAAAACAUUUUUAGAAAUAUCUGAAAGUUACUUUCAUUUUGUUAGAAUAUGCUAUCUUAGUUUUAAAGUUGAUUGCACGUUACCUAACUGGAUGGUUUGGUUACUUGUGGUUUUGGAAGGAGUUUGAAUAAUAGUAAGUUUAUUAAUGAUUACUAGGUGAGUAUAGUAAGUUAAAUAAAAU
Molecule: small RNA, 656 nt
Filed under: Vigna angularis var. angularis
Lineage: Eukaryota; Viridiplantae; Streptophyta; Magnoliopsida; Fabales; Fabaceae
Description: Non-protein coding transcript
Source: RNAcentral